RNAcentral lists this ribosomal RNA (463 nucleotides) under uncultured bacterium. RNAcentral describes it as "partial 16S ribosomal RNA". It matches the Rfam family "Bacterial small subunit ribosomal RNA", at positions 28 to 507 of the family's 1533-position model. The record is from RNAcentral.
GAUGAACGCUGACAGAAUGCUUAACACAUGCAAGUCGAUGGGGAAGUGGUGCUUGCACCAUGGUAACCAUGGCGGACGGGUGAGUAACGCGUAAGGAACUUACCUGCGGGACCGGGAUAACAGCAGGAAACUGCUGACAAGACCGGAUAAGGUCAUUAAGCUGCAUAGCUUAGUGAUGAAAGGAGACGCCUGCGGAGAGCCUUGCGUCCUCUUAGCUAGUUGGAGGGGUAACGGCCCACCAAGGCGAAGAUAGGUAGCCGGCCUGAGAGGGUGGACGGCCACAAGGGGACUGAGAUACGGCACUUACUCCUACGGGAGGCAGCAGUGGGGAAUAUUGGACAAUGGGGGCAACCCUGAUCCAGCCAUUCUGUGUGCACGAAGACGGUUUUCGGAUUGUAAAGUGCUUUCAGCAGGGAAGAAGGAAGUGACGGUACCUGCAGAAGAAGCGACGGCUAAAUACGUG